RNAcentral lists this long non-coding RNA (254 nucleotides) under Lathyrus oleraceus (garden pea). RNAcentral's name for it is "Pisum sativum (pea) long non-coding RNA (PSAT_LNC000144)". Lineage: Eukaryota; Viridiplantae; Streptophyta; Magnoliopsida; Fabales; Fabaceae. The record is from RNAcentral.
UGUAUCAAGUGUGACUAGUGUGGGUAAAGUCCUCCAUUGGUUGGAAAUGUGAAGACUUGAGGGGGAGUGUUUUAGGUGAAUAUGUGGUGUGUCUUUCACAAAGAUGUUACACCUCCCACUUAGAUCCAUUAAUUUUUUUUUAUUGUUGUUACUAGUUUUAGGCCUAAUUAUACACCUUGUGGUCUUAUUGCUUGCAAACUUUCUUUUUACUUUUUUUUAAUCUUGAUUAAUUAUUGAUUUAUUAAACUAAACUC